Molecule: long non-coding RNA, 1819 nt
Organism: Notolabrus celidotus (New Zealand spotty)
Lineage: Eukaryota; Metazoa; Chordata; Actinopteri; Labriformes; Labridae
Exons: 2
Source: RefSeq, a predicted model, not a curated record
AAGAUGGGGGGCGUGGAUAGACACAGAGAGAGACACGCAUGCAGGCGUCUCCCCCCCACCUAAAACACAUGCACGUGCGCGACAGCUCAGUGCGAUGAUUGUGUCAGACUUGGGCUACCUAUUGGCUGGUCGAGGGUGAUGUUAUGUAACCACUCCAUCACAGCAAGGAAAGAGAGAAAGAGAGUGGCCCAUGGGCUUGCAGAGUGCCACACCCCCUUUUUCAGGGGCGGUUUUGGAUACUUUUUGAGUCCAGCACAUGGCGACCACACCACGUGCUCUAAACUAGUUUUCCCAUUUCUUUUCUUAAUUUUUUGGGCAUGAUUAAAUCUUUCAGUCAAUUUUUGUGACAUACGUGUCGUAAAACAAGCUCCUGUUUCAUCAAAAUCAGUUUCUUGGGAAGAAAACCAACAAAAGAAAUUCAAAACAGAGCAUGCCAUUAUGCCAAGUCUUUUGAAUUCAUGAAAAUCAUGAUGCCAGUGAAUACUUUUCAUUGUGCAUGUCUGGUAAGGAGAAAGAAAGCUUGUAAAUGUGUUUACGCCCACCGCCCCCCUGCACCGCAUCAGAUGUGAGCACUCAUUGUCUCUCGCUCUGUGGUUAUAGCCGUACACAUGCAGACUUACAGCAGAAGGAGGCAUAAAUGCCCCAUUGUAUCAUUUAUUGUUCUGCGUUAAAGAAACAAACUUCCAUUGAAUUAUUUCUACACGUCACAUUGAGGGAAAGGUGUGAGUCUAGUUUUCCAUUUUUGAAAAGGAAUUUGGUGUUUGGUACUGAGAUGGUACAACCUGCCACUCAGUUUACUACUACAGAGUGUACGGAGUGCAGAUGGGUUACAGGCAUACAAGUUCUACAUGUCAACAACAUGUUCAUAUUGCACUGGUGAUCUUUCCAGUAAAAUCCCUGCAGCUCCAGAGAACCGCAGCAGAAAAAAAACAUCUGUCUGUAGAAACUGAACAAAUGCCAUCUUGCAAGUAUGACUUUUAAGAAAGCCUUUUCAGACAGAAGAUCUAAAGUGAUGUCAAACUACUUAAACUUAACUCUAGUUGCAUUCACAAAGCUAGAUUAAAAGAGCUCAAGAAUGAUUUGGAUAUAUUUCUUAGUGGAUAUGACUUUUUUAAUGCUCUUUUUAACAUGAUUGCUUGCAUUCUAAAAUGUCUUGUAGAAAAUGUUACGGUGAAAAUCCUCAGAAUAAGAGGAGUGCAUUGCUUUUGUUGUUUUCUUAGAUGCAAGUCUUCUCAUGUGACAAAACAUAAGGCCAGGUGGUCAUUACUGACGAGGGCAAUUUCACACCUGAUUCAAAUUAGUUCCCUGAAAAGCCAACUUGUAGUGCAGGACUCAAACACAGCUUUACACCUUCACCAGCCUUAACUGUACUCACUGAGCCUGGUGCUGAUGUUUCACAACCGCAUGCUUCCAGAGAUGCUAUUUCGGAUAAGACCGGAGAGGACUGCAUUCUGUCUUAAAGCAGCACUGCAGGGCUAUGUCAAUAAGGAAGCCAGCCAGUGCGGAAACGUCUCAAAACAGGAGUAGAAGACGAAGAGCUUUUAACUUGCAGGCAGGAAAAAUUACGGCUGACUCCUCCCUUCUUGAAACACUCUCCUGCAGCACGAUGCUUCAACUCAUCAAGACCAUGCAAACACUUUGAGUCACUGAAGGAUGUUUGGUAUACAUUUUGCACAUUUAACCCCUCAAAGUUUAAAGAUUGCUUUGCCAUGCUCUUACAAUGCGGACUGAGAGUAUCGUGCACAAAAGUACAGAUGCUAACUCCUGGAAAGCUUACUUUGCAAUAAACCGGUUUCCAAUGAAACAUGAUAUCGACCAA